This 550-nucleotide ribosomal RNA is filed under the name uncultured bacterium. RNAcentral's name for it is "bacterial SSU rRNA". It matches the Rfam family "Bacterial small subunit ribosomal RNA", at positions 240 to 803 of the family's 1533-position model. The record is from RNAcentral.
AUCAGCUAGUUGGUGAGGUAAUGGCUCACCAAGGCGACGACGGGUAGCGGGACUGAGAGGUUGGCCCGCCACAUCGGGACUGAGACACUGCCCGGACCUCCACGGAGGGCUGCAGUAACGAAUAUUGGGCAAUGGGCGAAAGCCUGACCCAGCAAUGCCGCGUGCAGGAUGAAGCCUUUCGGGGUGUAAACUGCUUUCAGGGAUUAGAAAGCUACGGUUGAUCAAUCCCAGAAGAAGUCACGGCUAACUUCGUGCCAGCAGCCGCGGUAAUACGAAGGUGGCAAGCGUUAUUCGAAAUCACUGGGCUUAAAGGGCGCGUAGGCGGACAUGAUAGUGCUUUGUGAAAUCCCUCGGCUUAACCGGGGAAUGGCUGGGCAUACUACAUGUCUUGAGGCAAGUAGGGGUGUGUGGAACUCUUGGUGGAGCGGUGGAAUGCGUAGAUAUCAAGAGGAACGCCGAAGGUGAAGACAGCACACUGGACUUGUACUGACGCUGAGGCGCGAAAGCGUGGGGAGCAAACAGGAUUAGAUACCCUGGUAGUCCACGCCGU